AACGUACGCUGGCGGCACGCCUAACACAUGCAAGUCGAACGAAGUAGCAAUACUUAGUGGCAGACGGGUGAGUAACAUGUAGGGUAUCUGCCCCUUUGGUCUGGAAUAACACGGGGAAACUUGUGCUAAUACCGGAUAAGCCUUUACAGGGAAAGUUUUAAUGCCAAAAGAUGAGCCCGCACUUGAUUAGCUAGUUGGUAAGGUAAAAGCUUACCAAGGCAACGAUCAAUAGCUGUUCUUAGAGGAAGACCAGCCACAUUGGGACUGAGACACGGCCCAAACUCCUACGGGAGGGAGCAGUAGGGAAUCUUGCACAAGUCGGGGGAAACCCUGAUGCAGCGAUGCCGCGUGAGUGAAGAAGGCCCUUGGGUUGUAAAGCUCUUUCGUCGGGGAAGAAAAUGACUGUACCCGAAUAAGAAGGUCCGGCUAACUUCGUG
This 437-nucleotide ribosomal RNA is filed under the name uncultured bacterium. Its description in RNAcentral is "bacterial SSU rRNA". It matches the Rfam family "Bacterial small subunit ribosomal RNA", at positions 29 to 507 of the family's 1533-position model. The record is from RNAcentral.